GACGAACGCUGGCGGCGUGCUUAACACAUGCAAGUCGAACGGGCCUUGUCCCCUUUUUUUUGGGGGUGGGGUUAGUGGCGAACGGGUGAGUAACACGUGAGUAACCUGCCCCUCACUUCUGGAUAACCGCUUGAAAGGGUGGCUAAUACGGGGUGUUCUGGCCUGCUCGCAUGGGUGGGUUUGGAAAGAUUCGACCGGUUUUGGUUGUUUUGGUGGGGGAUGGGCUCGCGGCCUAUCAGCUUGUUGGUGGGGUGAUGGCCUGCCAAGGCUUUGACGGGUAGCCGGCCUGAGAGGGUGGGCGGUCACACUGGGACUGAGACACGGCCCAGACUCCUACGGGAGGCAGCAGUGGGGAAUAUUGCACAAUGGGCGCAAGCCUGAUGCAGCGACGCCGCGUGAGGGAUGGAGGCCUUCGGGUUGUGAACCUCUUUCGCCAGUGAAGAAGGUCCUGCUCUUUGUGGUGGGGUUGACGGUAGCUGGGUUAAUGAAGCGCCGGCUAACCACGUG
This 507-nucleotide ribosomal RNA is filed under the name uncultured bacterium. RNAcentral describes it as "partial 16S ribosomal RNA". It matches the Rfam family "Bacterial small subunit ribosomal RNA", at positions 28 to 507 of the family's 1533-position model. The record is from RNAcentral.